Molecule: small nucleolar RNA, 110 nt
Filed under: Pisolithus tinctorius Marx 270
Lineage: Eukaryota; Fungi; Basidiomycota; Agaricomycetes; Boletales; Pisolithaceae
Description: Small nucleolar RNA Z13/snr52
Rfam family: Small nucleolar RNA Z13/snr52
About the family: Z13 or snr52 is a member of the C/D class of snoRNA which contain the C (UGAUGA) and D (CUGA) box motifs. Most of the members of the box C/D family function in directing site-specific 2'-O-methylation of substrate RNAs.
Source: Rfam by way of RNAcentral
UGGCAAUAUAGGGUGAAAUCAACACGGAUGUAAAACGAGUUUCAGACUCGUGUGUCCGAGAGCGCAUUCAAACUAUGUGGAUCUCUCCGUUGCCUUCCUUCUGACUUUCU